This 671-nucleotide long non-coding RNA is filed under the name Dromaius novaehollandiae (emu). RNAcentral's name for it is "lncRNA (ENSDNVG00000009869.1)". Lineage: Eukaryota; Metazoa; Chordata; Aves; Casuariiformes; Dromaiidae. The record is from RNAcentral.
CAGGGCCCUGCCAGGAAACACUGGCUCCAGGAGGCUUUUCCUCUCUCAGGCUGCAGUAGAUCCUGGGCAGAUAUCUUUGGGGUUGCCCUUCAGGGGACCUCCACCUGCCUGUGUUGGUAUUCACCUCCUGCUGCAGCCUGCCAGGUGGCAGGGCUGUUGUGGUCAGAGCCUUGCGCUUUCAUCACCCUGUUGUGAUAGGAAAAUUCAAGGUGUCCUGGCAGCAGGAAGCUCCUUUGCUCCACCCUCCGCUCCAAACACCCGGCUUCCAAGUUUAUUGAGGAUCCGCUGAACCAGAACUGCCACUACGACAAACUGAUCUGCACAGUCUCUCAGGUUGGACCUGGACCCCUGGCAUGAAGUACUUCAGCAGUGAGCCCUGGGCAGCCUUUGCCGUGCUCUUGUUCACCGCCACUCUCCCAUAUUCUUCCUCAGCAGCUGAGGAAGGCUCCAAUGUUUCAACAAGCUCCUCGCCUACGACCGAGUAUGAACCACAGUGCCUUAAAGUGAACUUCUGCACGCAAGCUGCCGUAUGUUGCCCAACGGGUAUGGACGAUUACGGAUGGAUUGCAGCUGCCGUUGGCUGGAGCCUCUGGUUUCUGACUCUCAUUCUGCUCUGUAUGGACAAGCUUAUGAAACUCCGGCCUGAUGAACCCAAGUAUUUGGUAGCCUGA